AAGUCGUAACAAGGUUUCCGUAGGUGAACCUGCGGAAGGAUCAUUAAUAAAAUAAUGAUUUUUUGGGGUUUUUAAAAUUCCAAAAAAUAAUUCACCUUUUGUGCACUGUUAUAAGAUAUACUUUGGUUAGAGCUUUUGAUUUUAUUUUUUGAAAUCAACUUCUUGCUGACUCUAUCCUUUCUGAGGACAGUUGGCUAUGAAGCGGCCUACCAAGGUUUUUUAUCAAACACAUUUAAUUUAUCUGACCUAAAUCAUUAUAAUUAAAUCAUAACUUUCAACAACGGAUCUCUUGGCUCUC
RNAcentral lists this unclassified non-coding RNA (298 nucleotides) under fungal sp. Its description in RNAcentral is "partial internal transcribed spacer region". The stretch from base 1 to 46 matches the Rfam family "Eukaryotic small subunit ribosomal RNA", at positions 1786 to 1831 of the family's 1831-position model. The record is from RNAcentral. Lineage: Eukaryota; Fungi.